GCAAUAUUUACGGUCAACUACAAAUACCAGCCACAGCCUAUCGUCUGCAGAUACUAUUCCAGAUGUAAGGAGCAGUACACCAGAUACAGCUGUUGGAAGAAGCUCUGCAGAUGUUGGACGUCUCUUCAGAGCCAUGGUGACCGAAUCAGCACCACUUUUCGAUGAUAUCGCUGAGGAGGAUGAUUCAUCAAGAGAGGUGAUUCUGAAUCUUGUUCCAGUUCCAGCACCAGAG
Molecule: long non-coding RNA, 232 nt
Organism: Bombina bombina (fire-bellied toad)
Lineage: Eukaryota; Metazoa; Chordata; Amphibia; Anura; Bombinatoridae
Exons: 3
Source: RefSeq, a predicted model, not a curated record